AAGUCGUAACAAGGUUUCCGUAGGUGAACCUGCGGAAGGAUCAUUAUUCUCUCGAAUAACGAGUCGGGGGUCGAACAGUGGCUUGCUGCUGUUUCCCCGCCUUCAUCCUUGUCUUUUGAGUACUUCAUCGUUUCCUCGGUAGAUUUCUCUACCGAAUGGAUUACAAAACCAACCUUUUUUAAUGCAAUUGCAGUCAGCGUCUGAAUAAAUAUCAAUAUUUACAACUUUCAACAACGGAUCUCUUGGUUCUG
This 251-nucleotide unclassified non-coding RNA is filed under the name fungal sp. RNAcentral describes it as "partial internal transcribed spacer region". The stretch from base 1 to 46 matches the Rfam family "Eukaryotic small subunit ribosomal RNA", at positions 1786 to 1831 of the family's 1831-position model. Lineage: Eukaryota; Fungi. The record is from RNAcentral.